AUAGUAUUCCAUGGUGUACAUAUACCACAAUUUGUUAAUCCAUUCGUGGAUCGAUGGCGGCCUUCAGACAUAUGAAAAAAUGCUCAUCAGGCGGCGCCUGUGGCUCAUAGGAUACUGCUGGAUAUAAGCUGGAGAUGUGGUGAACUGCCGGAUGUACACUAUAAGAAAGGCGAUGUGAGGAUUCAGAUCACCCUGGAGAGGAUUACUCGCUGAACGUGCACCAACAGAAAGGAGAGGCGAGGAGUCGGAUCACCCUGGAGAGGAUUACUCUCUGGAUGUUAGAUUUGCAUGAAGUCGACGUGAGCACUCGGAUCACCCAGGAGAGGAUUGCUUGCUGGAUGUACACUAGCACAAGGGCGAGGAUACUGCUGGAUAUAAGCUGGAGAUGUGGCGAACUGCCGGAUGUACACUAUCAGAAAGGCGAUGUGAGGUCUCGGAUCACCCUGGAGAGGAUUACUGGCUGAACAUGCACUAACAGAAAGGAGAGGCAAGGACUCGGAUCACCCUGGAGAGGAUUACUCGCUGAACGUUCACUAACAGAAAGGAGAGGUGAGGACUCGGAUCACCCUGAGAAGAUUACUCGCUGCAAGUGCACUAACAGAAAGGAAAGGUGAAGACUCUGAUCACCCUGAGAAGAUUACUCGCUUUAAGAGCACUAACAGAAGGGAAAGGUGAGGACUCAGAUCACCCUGGGGAGGAUUACUCCCUUGAUGUUAGGCUUGCAAAAGUCGAAGUGAGGACUUGGAUCAUCAAGGACAGGAUUACUACCUGGAUUUACAACAGGAAGGCGACGUGAGGACUCAGAUCACCCAGGCGAGGAUUACUUGCUGGAUGUACACUAGCACAAGGGCGAGGUUUGGGAGAGGAGUGCUGAAUGGAUGGACACUAGCAGAAAGGAAGGUUGAAGACGCGGAUGCACUGGGAUAAAUGUGCUGUAUGCCUGCACACAGAAAUGGGAUUUUGUUAUGUGGCUCCAAAGCAUACCGUGUGAAACAUGUUGGAAUAGGUCAGCAAACCUACUCUCACUGAAAUCGUGCACGCUAUAGCAAUACAGUUUGCACAGCGGCUUAGGAGGACAUGGGUAUUGAUGUUCCCGCAGCUGUAAGGUUGAUAGAGUUGCAUGUAUGAUGAAAACAAGUAUUCUCUGGUAGAUUUUGCACUGAAGAAAUAUGCUGAAGUUUCUCUAAGGAGGAACUUCCAGAUGAAACUUCUGGGGUGCAAAAGGUUGUGGAAAUUGGGAAACUUCUUUCCCGGGUAGCUCUGAAACCAUUAUGAGAGGAGAAAACAGUUGUUUGCCGCCACAGGCGUUCUGCCGGAUAUCUGCAUUAGCGUGGCUGAACCCCUGUGUCACUGACAUCAUGCUCGUUGUGCCAUGGCUUUUGACACCUUCAAUUACAUUGGUGAGAGAAUGGCACUCAGUAGUGAUUUUCAGAGCGUUACAUGUACGAUAAGUACAAGUAUUCUGCGAAAUACAUUGCACUUUGAAACAUGUGGAAGGUUUUAUAAAGAAAGUACCUAUGAACCGUCUAGGAAACCAGGUCUUGUGGGAUUUUGAAAAAGGCAUACAUGUUUAGUAGCUCUUAAUAGCAUGACUUAAGAGAAGAAAAUGCUUUUCUCUCCCAGUAGGAAACUGCUGUCUAUAAGCUGGAGCAGUGGCAAACUGAGGCAUGUACACUAUCAGAAAGCAAUGUUAGGACCCAGAUCACCCUGGAGAGGAUUACUCCCUGAGAGUGCACUAAGAGAAAGGAGGGGCGAGGACUUGGAUCACCCUGGAGAGGAUUACUCACCUGAUGUUAUACUUGCAGAACGUUGAGGUGAGGACUUGGAUCAUCCUGGAGAGGAUUACUCUCUGGAUGUUAGAUUUGCAUGAUAGAAAUUAUUCCUUGCAUCUUCUCAGAUGAUCAUGGAAUAAAAGUGGAACUCAGUAACAACAGGAACCUGCAUACUAAUACAAAAACAUGGAAGCUGAAAAACCUCAUGCUGAACGAUAGCUGGAUCAUAGAAGAGAAUAAGAAGAAAAUAAAUUUUUGGAAGAAAACGACAAUGAAGACACAGAUUGUCAGAACCUCUGGGAUACCACAAAGGUCGUCCUAAGAGGGAAAUUUAUAGCACUGCAAGCCUUCCUCAAGAGAACAGAAAGAGAGGAAGUUAACAACUUAAUGGGACAUUUCAAGCAAUUAAAAAAGGAAGAACAUUCCAAUCCCAAACCCAGCAGAAGAAAAGAAAUAACAAAAAUUAGAGCAGAAUUAAAUGAAAUUGAAAAUAAAAGAAUUAUACAACAGAUCAAUAAAUCAAAAAGUUGGUUUUUUGAAAAGGUCAAUAAAACAGAUAAAGCUUUAGCUAACCUAACCAGGAAAAAAAGAGUAAAAUCUCUAAUUUCAUCAAUCAGAAAUGGUAAAGACGAAAUAACAACAGACUCCUCAGAAAUUCAAAAAAUCCUUAAUGAAUAGUAUAAGAAACUUUAUUCUCAGAAAUAUGAAAAUCUGAAGGAAAUUGACCAAUACUUGGAAGUACAUCACCUUCCAAGACUUAGCCAGAAUCAAGUGGAAAUGUGAACAGGCCUAUAUCAAGUUCUGAAAUAGCAUCAACCAUACAAAAUCUCCCUAAAAAGAAAAGCCUGGGACCAGAUGGCUUCACGUCAGAAUUCUACCAAACCUUUAAAGAGGAACUAGUACUUAUAUUACUCAACCUGUUCCAAAGUAUACAAAAAGAAGGAAUAUUACCCAACACGUUCUAUGAAGCAAACAUCACCCUGAUCCCCAAACCAGGAAAAGACCCAACAAGAUAAGAAAAUUAUAGACCAAUAUCACUAAUGAAUAUAGAAGCAAAAAUAUUCAACAAGAUCCUAACAAACAGAAUCCAGCAACACAUCAAACAAAUUAUACAUCAUGACCAAAUCGGUUUUAUCCCAGGGUCUCAAGGCUGGUUCAAUAUACGUAAAUCUAUAAAUGUAAUCCACACAAACAAAUUAAGAAACAAAGACCAUAUGAUUCUCUCAAUCGAUGAAGAGAAAGCUUUUGAUAAUAUCCAGCAUCCCUUCAUAAUCAGAACGCUUAAGAAAAUCAGUAUAGAAGGGACAUUUCUUAAACUGAUAGACAUCUGCAGCAAACCCACAGCCAAUAUCAUAUUGAAUGGAGUUAAAUUGGAAUCAUUUCCACUCAGAUCAAGAACCAGACAAGGCUGCCCAUUGUCUCCAUUGCUUUUCAACAUUGUAAUGGAAGUUUUAGCCACUGCAAUUAGGGAAGAAAAGGUGAUCAAGGGUAUCCAUGUAGGGUCAGAAGAGAUCAAACUUUCGUUCUUUGCAGAUGAUAUGAUAGUAUAUCUGGAAAACUCUUAGAAGUGAUCAGGGAAUACAGCAGCGUCUCAGGUUACAAAAUCAACAUUCAUAAAUUGGUAGCCUUUAUAUAUACCAACAAUAGUCAAGUUGAAAAAACAGUUAAGGACUCUAUCCCAUUCACAGUAGUGCCAACGAAGAUGAAAUAUUUGGGAAUUUAUCUAACAAAGGACGUGAAAGAUCUCUAUAAAGAGAACUAUGAAACUCUAAGAAAAGAAAUAGCUGAAGAUGUUAACAAAUGGAAAAACAUACCAUGCUCAUGGCUGGGAAAAAUCAGCAUUGUAAAAAUGUCUAUACUACCCAAAGCAAUAUACAAUUUUAAUUCAAUCCCUAUUAAAGCUCCAUUGUCAUACUUUAAAGAUCUUGAAAAAAUACUUCGUUUUAUAUGGAAUCAGAAAAAAGCUUGAAUAGCCAAGACAUUACUUAGAAAUAAAAACAAAGCAGGAGGAAUUACGCUACCAGAUCUCAGACUAUACUAUAAAUCGAUAGUGAUCAGAACAGCAUGGUACUGGCACAAAAACAGAGAGGUAGAUAUAUGGAACAGAAUAGAGAGCUAAGAAAUAAACCCAGCUACUUAUCGUUAUUUGAUAUUUGACAAGCCAAUUAAAAACGUUCAAUGGGGAAAAGAUUCCCUAUUAUCAAAUGGUGCUGGGUGAACUUGCGACCUGUAGAAGACUGAAACUAGACCGACACCUUUCACCUUUAACUAAGAUAGACUCUCACUGGAUUAAAGAUUUAAACUGAAGACAUGAAACUAUAAAAAUACUAGAAGAAAGCACAGGGAAAACUCUUGAAGGAAUUGGCCUCAGCAUGUAUUUUUUGAGGAGGACCCCCACCCAGGGCAAUUGAAGCUGCAUCAAAAAUACACUACUGGGACUUGAUGAAACUAAAAAGUUUCUGCACAGCGAAGAACAUAGUAAGUAGAUCAAGCAGACAGCCUUCAGAAUGGGAGAAGAUAUUUGCAGGAUAUGUCUCCAACAAAGGUUUAAUAACCAGAAUCCACAGUGAACUCAAACAUAUUAACAAGAAAAGAACAAGUGAUCCCAUCUCAGGUUGGGCAGGGGACUUAAAGAGAAACUUCUCUGUAGGCAGGCGCAUAGCCUACAGACACAUGAAAAAUGCUCAUCAUCCUUAACCAUCAGAGAAAUGCAAAUCACAACUACUUUGAGAUAUCAUCUAACCCUAUUAAGAUUAGCCCACAUCACAAAAUCCCAAAACCACCAUGUUGGUGCAGAUGUGGAGAAAAGGGAACACUUCUGCACUGCUGAUGGGAAUGCAAACUAAUACGGUCCUUUUGGAAAGAUGUUUGGUGAGUACUUAGAGAUCUAAAAGUAGAUCUGCCAUUCAAGCCUAUAAUUCUUCUACUAGGUAUAUAUCCAGAAGACCAAAAAUCGCACUUGAACAAAGAUAUUUGUACCAGAAUGUUUAUUGCAGCCCAAUUCAUAAUUGCUACGUCAUGGAAAAAACCCAAGUGCCCAACAACUCAUGAAUGGACUAAUAAAUUGUGGUAUUUGUACACCAUGGAAUAUUAUGCAGCCAUAAAGAAAGAUGGAGACUUUACCUCGUUCAUGUUUACAUGGAUUGGAUGGAGCUGGAAAAUAUUCUUCUUAGCAAGGUUUCCAAAGAAUGGAAGAAAAAGUACCCAAUGUACUCAGCCCUAAUAUGAAACUAAUUUAUAGCUUUCAUUCGAAGUCUAUAACCCAAUGUCAGUGCAAGAAUAUGGGGAAGGGGGCAAGGGAGGGGAAGAGAGUGGGAGGAAGGGUGGAGGAAGGGUGAUUGGUGGGUCCACACCUAGGGUGCAUCUUGGAAGGGUACAGGUGAAGUUUACUAAGUGUAGAGUAUAAGGAUUUGAACACAAUAAUUAAAAUGCCAUGAAGGCUAUGUUAACCAGUUCAGUGAAAAUAUUUCAGACUGUAUAUGGA
This is a long non-coding RNA of Nycticebus coucang (slow loris), 5256 nucleotides long. RefSeq lists it as uncharacterized. The record is from RefSeq and is a predicted model, not a curated record. Lineage: Eukaryota; Metazoa; Chordata; Mammalia; Primates; Lorisidae. The transcript has 3 exons.